AGGACGAACGCUGGCGGCGUGCUUAACACAUGCAAGUCGAGCGGUAAGGCCUUUCGGGGUACACGAGCGGCGAACGGGUGAGUAACACGUGGGUGAUCUGCCCUGCACUCUGGGAUAAGCCUGGGAAACUGGGUCUAAUACCGGAUAUGACCUGCUCUCGCAUGGGGGGUGGGUGGAAAGAUUUAUCGGUGCAGGAUGGGGCCCGCGGCCUAGUCAGCUUGUUGGUGGGGUAAUGGCCUACCAAGGCGACGACGGGUAGCCGACCUGAGAGGGUGACCGGCACACGUGGGACUGAGACACGGCCCAGACUCCGUACGGGAGCAGCAGGUGGGAAUAGUGCACAAGUGGGACGAAGCCUGAUGCAGGCGACGCCGCGUGAGGAUGGAAGGUCCGUUCGGGUACGUAACCUC
Molecule: ribosomal RNA, 410 nt
Filed under: uncultured soil bacterium
Lineage: Bacteria
Description: bacterial SSU rRNA
Rfam family: Bacterial small subunit ribosomal RNA
Source: RNAcentral